Molecule: non-coding RNA, 26 nt
Filed under: Homo sapiens (human)
Lineage: Eukaryota; Metazoa; Chordata; Mammalia; Primates; Hominidae
Source: RNAcentral
UGCAGCAGGAGUACACAAGUGAAGGG